AAAGUCGUAACAAGGUAACCGUAGGUGAACCUGCGGUUGGAUCAUUACCAAUUUUUUUGUAUUCCUUUUCUCUCCACACUACCUCUCUUCUCUUUGAGUUUGGGUGUGCGAGGAAAAGAAAUAUAUAAACACACUGUGAACUUGUAAUCGUUUUUUUGGUGGUUCCUUGAGGAGGGAAAAGGGUUUAGUAGAGUAUUGUCUCUCUUCUCACUUUUUUCUCCUUGCACCAAGUAGGGUGCGGUCCACCAAAAGGAAACCUUCCCCCCUCAUUCAGAGGGUGCUGGUUUCUAUUCAAACCCAACUACUCUAGUCUUUUUUUAUUUUAAAGUCUUUUUUUAUUCAAAGCCAAUUGAGAAACAACUUUUAACAACGGAUCUCUUGGCUCUC
Molecule: unclassified non-coding RNA, 387 nt
Filed under: Chytridiomycota sp.
Lineage: Eukaryota; Fungi; Chytridiomycota
Description: partial contains small subunit ribosomal RNA, internal transcribed spacer 1, and 5.8S ribosomal RNA
Rfam family: Eukaryotic small subunit ribosomal RNA (bases 1-47)
Source: RNAcentral